CCUACGGGUGGCAGCAGUGGGGAAUAUUGCACAAUGGGCGCAAGCCUGAUGCAGCCAUGCCGCGUGUGUGAAGAAGGCCUUCGGGUUGUAAAGCACUUUCAGCGGGGAGGAAGGCGGUGAGGUUAAUAACCUCAUCGAUUGACGUUACCCGCAGAAGUAGCACCGGCUAACUCCGUGCCAGCAGCCGCGGUAAUACGGAGGGUGCAAGCGUUAAUCGGAAUUACUGGGCGUAAAGCGCACGCAGGCGGUCUGUCAAGUCGGAUGUGAAAUCCCCGGGCUCAACCCGGGAACUGCAUUCGAAACUGGCAGGCUAGAGUCUUGUAGAGGGGGGUAGAAUUCCAGGUGUAGCGGUGAAAUGCGUAGAGAUCUGGAGGAAUACCGGUGGCGAAGGCGGCCCCCUGGACAAAGACUGACGCUCAGGUGCGAAAGCGUGGGGAGCAAACAGGAUUAGAUACCCUAGUAGUC
This 465-nucleotide ribosomal RNA is filed under the name uncultured Klebsiella sp. Its description in RNAcentral is "bacterial SSU rRNA". It matches the Rfam family "Bacterial small subunit ribosomal RNA", at positions 338 to 795 of the family's 1533-position model. The record is from RNAcentral. Lineage: Bacteria; Pseudomonadati; Pseudomonadota; Gammaproteobacteria; Enterobacterales; Enterobacteriaceae.